Gossypium raimondii (Peruvian cotton) is the source of this 154-nucleotide non-coding RNA. Lineage: Eukaryota; Viridiplantae; Streptophyta; Magnoliopsida; Malvales; Malvaceae. The record is from Rfam.
UGUUAAACAUUUCAUCCCUUUAUACUAUUAGCAACUAGCGUGACUGACAGAAUAAUAAGACAAUGAUGCUUGGCUUGGCUUGGCUUGCCUAGUGUGCCUAAUGCUGACGUGCAGGAUCGACUUUUAGCAGUAGAAAUAAAUGAAGUUUUUAACA